CACUCAUAGGAUUCAUGAGUGUCUCUCUGAAAUAAAACGAAAGCCACGCAUACCACAACGCCAAGGACAAGACUCACCUCAUCGAGUGCGACAGCGGCAUCUGCUCUCAGAAGGGUACUGCACAUACCAUCGGUUGUCUUAUCCCCUUUAUUCUCAACCGAAUUUUGUAACAUUUUGUUUGUCCUUGCCUCACCUCUGCCGUAGCGCUGCUGCGCUGUUUACGUGUGUGUGUGUGCUGCGUGUCACGCCUCGUGCCUUAAUCCUUUCCUUUCUCAACUUCCGCCACCACCAUAGAGUCGUUUAGUGUGGCCCUGGAGGGAGACAGUAAGUGCGAAGUUGUCUUCUGCCUCGUUUCUGCCUCUGCGCCUCUGCGAGGCCCCUCCCUUCAUCCCCCAUUUGCGUUUUCUCUGCUCGCUGCGAGUUGCUCCUUUCUUUUUUUAGUCUCAUCGUUUGUGCGUUCACUUGGAUCGUGUGCUUGUCGGUCGCCCCCUCUCUUUACGAGCGUCUCGCGAGAUCCUCUUGGCCGCGUGUGAGAGAGCCGCUGCGCGUUCGAGUAGGAGGCAGAGAACAAGAAAGGAGCGACAGGCAGGCACAAACUGAGAAAAGCAGGACGCGGCGCUUAUCCGUGUUGCACGCCACUUUCGACGUGGUGUGUCAACGGGGGCUUUCAUUUCGCGUUUGUUCUUAUCCCCUCUACUCGUGGCUUUUCUCUUUGUUGCCAUCUCUAGUGCUGACCUCUCCUUUCUCUCACUCUGUGGCUGUCCCUCGCGUGCAUGUGCGGCUGAGUGGCGGAUUUGGUUCAUUGGUAAAGUAAGCGGGUGCUUCCUUUUUUUUUUGCUGUUGCUGUUCUGCUCGCGUGCACACGCGGACCAGAAUCUUAAGGAACAGGAGAGGGUAAGGAGGGUCUUGAAGCUGACACGCGAACUUCUGGCUGCUGGAGCGCACACCAAAACACUCCCCGUGGAUCCACUGUCGACGUACUAAGUCAGCCACUCCUAUUCCCUUCACGCCUUUUUCGAUUUCUUGCGUGUGCUCUUGCUUGGUCUGCAUUCGGCUUUUUGAAGGCGUUUUCCUGCUAUUUUUUCCGAUACUCGCGCACCGUCUCACACUCCACACCCCGCACGCCAGAGGAAGCCGCAUAAAGCACACGCACACGUACAAGCGAAAACAAAACGCACAUGCACAGAAGGAGGGGGCGUGCACGAAAAAAAGGUCUAAAGAAGUCUGCAUCUUGUGUGUUUCCGUGGCAGCCACGAAGCUGAAAGGCAAAGCCGCGUUAAUCCGACAGCUCUCUGCUAAGAUGAGCGCGUCAGCGAACGCGUUUCCGGCGCUGUCGGGAGGCUUCAAGUUGCCUUCUGUGACAGCUGCGCCGAAAAAUGCUGUGGCUCGCAUGCCGUCCCGCGUCGUGCAUCAGGCACGCUCUUUGCCUUCCGUCACGCGCGACUUGGUUGCGCCGACGCCGUCAUCGACGCCAUCGCUGUACCCACAGAGUCUGUGGUGGGACGCGCAGCAGGGCAAAGAGGACACGGACAAAAUUACGCGCAGGCGCACGUACCGGGUAAGCGACUAUCCUCCCAUUAUCGUGGGCAAGUAUGUGACGGACCCGACAGGAAAGGACUUUUCCAACCCACACUACGUGCCCGCAGGGACGGCGGCGCGCUCUCGCUCGUCGUCGCGCGCCGCAGCCAGGAGCGGCGCAAGUGUGACCGCUCUCAGCCGGGUUUCGAGCUCCGCGACGACGUGCUCCACCUGCACUACGACCUCCUCGACCGUUCGCGGCCCCGAGGAGGACGAGGAAAACCUCGCGCUACGCGUCACUGCAAAGCGGAAGCUAUUUACGGUGGUGAUGCCCGUCUACCCGUCCUCCGCUGCGAGCUUCUUCUUCCCGACAGCAUACGUGCAGUCAUCCCGCGAUGCGGCGGAUUGGCGAGGACCACCUAAGAAAAUCAACGAAGAUCUGCACCCCAACGACCGCGCUAAUUUCUCGCUCUCCUACGUUUCCGUUCGCGAGAACAACCUUAAUCGAAUGGGGUUGUACAAGAUAGGCCCCGGCGCCGUCGCCUUCAGCGCGGUCAUCAAGGCCUUCGAGGCGGGCGGGCUCCGGUACACGGACUCCAACAAAGACUUCAACAUACUGUGGGCCAAGCGGGCCACCGUCUAUACCCUAUCCUCGCUGAACGCGUACCAAAAGGUGAACCACUUCCCCGGCACGUGGGGUGUGGGCCGCAAGGACCGGCUGGCCUACAACAUCCGCCGCAUGCAGCGGCACUUCGGCGACGAUGCCUUUGACAUUGUGCCCAAGUCCUUCCUCAUCCCUCAAGACGAAGCGGAGCUGCGCCGCGAUGCGGAGAUAGACCCCGGCACCCCGCAGAAGCCGCUGAUCUACAUUCUCAAGCCCGGCGCGUCUAGCUGUGGGCGAGGGAUCCAUCUCUUCAAGGGCGUUCCGCCCAUGCCGCGGGGGGCGGGGCGCGAGAAGGAGAUGGUGUGUCAGCGGUACAUUGGCAACCCCUUGCUCAUCUAUGGCCGCAAGUUUGACCUGCGUCUCUACUGCGUUGUCACCUCCUUCGAUCCGUUGCGGAUCUACCUCUUUGAUGAGGGUCUCGUGCGGUUCGCGGCUAAGAAGUACAGCGGCCCUGACCAGGACCUCGACAACAUCCACGUGCAUCUCACCAACUACUCCGUUAACAAAACGGCGGAGCUGAGCAAGGAAAGCAACGGCAAGGACUACGAGAGUGACGACCCACUUGACAUCAAGUGGUGCCUCUCCGACUUUAAGCGGCACUUGGCGUCGCAUCACCCGCUGGGGCUGGCUGCCUGGGACCGCAUCCAGGCCGAGUGCGAGGAUGUGGUGAUAAAGACGUUCCUCAGUAUCGAGCACAACGUGGUGGAGGAGGUGACUCGCAACUGCGCCGAUAGAAGCGGGCGCAACUGCUUUGAACUGUUUGGGCUAGACUUGAUGGCGGACGACAAUCUCAAGGUGCGGCUGCUGGAGGUUAACAUCAUGCCCUCGCUGGCGACAGGCAGCUCUCUCGACAAAGCCGUGAAGUCCCGCAUGCUGUCGCACAUGUUGACGCUGGUGCGCGUCAUUCCGUAUCGCCGGGAUAGUCAGCUGGACCCCAACAACACGGACGGCAUCUACGUGCCGCGCGGCAUUCAGCGACAGGCUGGAGAGCGCACCUACAAAUUUGGCAAUCACCCCUUUCCGAGCGCUCGUAUUGUGGAGCGGCCUCUGCUGACCGCCUUUAACGACCCCGGCAACGAAGACUCGUACCUGUCCAUGGCCGAGUCGCUCAUGCUGCGCGAAUAUGAGGAGGAGCUGCAGUGCGCCGGCGGCUUUCGGUGCAUCUACCCUGUUGGCCGCACCGUUGACAGAUAUCUUCCCUACUUUUUGCAUGGCGUCCGUCGCAGCAACUACCUGCUGGCGUCGGCGGCGGUGAUGAAGUCGAAGCAGCCGCCGAACGAGAAGCUCUUCGAUUAAACUGGAGAUGAUACACACUCUUGCCUAGGAGGUGCAGCCCGCAUUGCGUAAACUGAGAAGGGCAGCCAAUGUAAUGGUGUGAGGUGGGUGACGGCGGUGUGCGAUGAGGGUGCGAGAGAAGGGUGUGACGUGUGGUGUGAAAUGCAGGCUGAUGGCCCCCGUGCUUCUGUGUUGCCAUGGGGGAUAGUAAUGUGGGCAUCUGCUUCUACAGCGCACGUGCUCCUCCGUCGAAGUAAGUGCGGUUCACAUGGACGGCAAACAAGAGCGAUGCACUCGCAGCAUGGGAGCUUCUUCACGGCAGCACCGACGUCUUGAUUAAAGCGGACACGUACAAUCCCAUCGACCUUUUGUUUGCACCUUCUUCACGUACACACGCACGUGCUGGUGCCCCUGUUCUCCUUUUCGCUGUGUGGGCGUGCCCUCAUGUUGACAUUUACACUCGUGCGCGUGUGCCGGCAUGCGCAGGUGUGCGGGCAUUGCCAUCCUGCUCAGGUUGAGCGAUGGAUGACGGUGAGAGGGUUGUACCUGUAUGUGCGCUGUUUGCACGAUUUGAAAUGUGUGAGUUCGCUCGUCACGCGCGCUUGUUUCUGGACCCUCAUUCAGCCCAGCUCGAGCACACCGCGAUCGAUGGAGGGCAAGCUACACCCAUCACUCAGCACAGCCACCGUAACGACGGCAUCGCUCAGCAGUCAAAGACGCUUCUGCGUAUGAGCGCAAGCGUGCAUCUCUUUGCGUCGCUGCCGGGUAUACAGUGCGACUAGGUUGUUGCCCUGGCGCUCCGUCUUCCUAAUUACUUUUCUGUGAGUAUAGAUAAAGGUGGCGAUCUCGUACCUCCCUUCUUUUGAUCCGAUGCGCGUCGAUCGGUUUGGUGGCGGCGCGCCUCUGCGCGUGUGUAGACUGUUGUGAUGAGUUGUUCUUGGGCUCUUUUCUCUAUUUCGAUGUGUGCUUUAGCAGGUCACGUUAUCAUGUCAAUAGCCGUUCUUCGCCGCAACUUCUCAACGCCGUGUGCUGCCUUUCCAAGUGUUUCUCCCCGUAUCUGUGAAGAGGUUUCGCACGCACUUCCUACGGAACUCGGUCAUCCCUCUUUUCGACGCGUGUCCUGUCGUCGCCUGGGCCUGCACGCCUUCGCCAUCUACACCCUCAGCUAUCAUGCUCGUCUCUCUCCCUUCUUCUUCCAUCUCUCCCUGUAUUUGCAUGUUAG
RNAcentral lists this unclassified non-coding RNA (4679 nucleotides) under Leishmania donovani. RNAcentral's name for it is "gene:LdHU3.35.6520(CDS-product:tubulin_tyrosine_l igase_putative)". Lineage: Eukaryota; Euglenozoa; Kinetoplastea; Trypanosomatida; Trypanosomatidae. The record is from RNAcentral.